UACGUAGGUGGCAAGCGUUGUCCGGAUUUACUGGGCGUAAAGAGCGCGCAGGCGGUUGUUCAAGUCGGGUGUGAAAGCCCCCGGUUCAACUGGGGAGGGUCACGCGAUACUGAUCGACUCGAAGGCAGGAGAGGGUAGUGGAAUUCCCGGUGUAGUGGUGAAAUGCGUAGAUAUCGGGAGGAACACCAGUGGCGAAGGCGACUACCUGGCCUGUUCUUGACGCUGAGGCGCGAAAGCUAGGGGAGCAAACGGG
This 253-nucleotide ribosomal RNA is filed under the name uncultured bacterium. RNAcentral's name for it is "partial 16S ribosomal RNA". It matches the Rfam family "Bacterial small subunit ribosomal RNA", at positions 524 to 776 of the family's 1533-position model. The record is from RNAcentral.